UCCCUGGUGGCUCAGACGGUAAAGCAUCUGUCUACAAUGCAGGAGACCCAGGUUUGAUCCCUGGGUCGGGAA
RNAcentral lists this transfer RNA (72 nucleotides) under Ovis aries (sheep). It matches the Rfam family "tRNA". From Rfam's summary of the family: Transfer RNA (tRNA) molecules are approximately 80 nucleotides in length. The record is from Rfam by way of RNAcentral. Lineage: Eukaryota; Metazoa; Chordata; Mammalia; Artiodactyla; Bovidae.